This 445-nucleotide ribosomal RNA is filed under the name uncultured bacterium. RNAcentral describes it as "partial 16S ribosomal RNA". It matches the Rfam family "Bacterial small subunit ribosomal RNA", at positions 354 to 796 of the family's 1533-position model. The record is from RNAcentral.
GUGAGGAAUAUUGGUCAAUGGGCGGGAGCCUGAACCAGCCAAGUCGCGUGAAGGAAGAAGGAUCUAUGGUUCGUAAACUUCUUUUGCAGGGGAAUAAAGUGCAGGACGUGUCCUGUUUUGUAUGUACCCUGAGAAUAAGGAUCGGCUAACUCCGUGCCAGCAGCCGCGGUAAUACGGAGGAUCCGAGCGUUAUCCGGAUUUAUUGGGUUUAAAGGGUGCGUAGGUGGUUUGAUAAGUCAGCGGUGAAAGUUUGCAGCUUAACUGUAAAAAUGCCGUUGAAACUGUCGUGCUUGAGUGUAAAUGAGGUAGGCGGAAUGCGUGGUGUAGCGGUGAAAUGCAUAGAUAUCACGCAGAACUCCGAUUGCGAAGGCAGCUUACUAAGCUACAACUGACACUGAAGCACGAAAGCGUGGGGAUCAAACAGGAUUAGAAACCCGAGUAGUCC